UCAUUUAAAGAAAGCGUAAUAGCUCACUGGUCGAGUCGGCCUGCGCGGAAGAUGUAACGGGGCUAAACCAUGCACCGAAGCUGCGGCAGCGACGCUGAUGCGUUGUUGGGUAGGGGAGCGUUCUGUAAGCCUGUGAAGGUGGCCUGUGAGGGUUGCUGGAGGUAUCAGAAGUGCGAAUGCUGACAUAAGUAACGAUAAAGCGGGUGAAAAGCCCGCUCGCCGGAAGACCAAGGGUUCCUGUCCAACGUUAAUCGGGGCAGGGUGAGUCGACCCCUAAGGCGAGGCCGAAAGGCGUAGUCGAUGGGAAACGGGUUAAUAUUCCCGUACUUGGUGUUACUGCGAAGGGGGGACGGAGAAGGCUAUGUUGGCCGGGCGACGGUUGUCCCGGUUUAAGCGUGUAGGUGUGUGUUCCAGGUAAAUCCGGUUCACUUUAACACUGAGGCGUGAUGACGAGGCACUACGGUGCUGAAGCAACAAAUGCCCUGCUUCCAGGAAAAGCCUCUAAGCAUCAGGUAACAUCAAAUCGUACCCCAAACCGACACAGGUGGUCAGGUAGAGAAUACCAAGGCGCUUGAGAGAACUCGGGUGAAGGAACUAGGCAAAAUGGUGCCGUAACUUCGGGAGAAGGCACGCUGACACGUAGGUGAAGUGAUUUACUCA
Molecule: ribosomal RNA, 660 nt
Filed under: Salmonella enterica
Lineage: Bacteria; Pseudomonadati; Pseudomonadota; Gammaproteobacteria; Enterobacterales; Enterobacteriaceae
Description: partial 23S ribosomal RNA
Rfam family: Bacterial large subunit ribosomal RNA
Source: RNAcentral